Molecule: non-coding RNA, 967 nt
Organism: Phascolarctos cinereus (koala)
Lineage: Eukaryota; Metazoa; Chordata; Mammalia; Diprotodontia; Phascolarctidae
Source: RefSeq, a predicted model, not a curated record
GGAAAGGCUGAUGAAAGGUAUGUGACAUCUAUACCAAGUCUUGAAGGAAGAAAAAGACCUGAACCAGUGAAAAUGAGGAGAAUUAAUUUCAACAGGUAUUUGUCAAAGCCUUACACUGGAUCAGCACUGCCUUAGCCACUACUGAGGAUACAAAGUAUAAGCAGAAUUACCUGGGAAUCUCUAAAAGUGACUUGGAACCUGAUAAGAUCUACUAGGAGGAACACCCUUCAAAGCUUCCCUGAGAACGAGACCUAUUUCAAAAUGUCCAAGGGAAGAUGUUUCUGGGAACUACAUGAUUAUAUUGGACAUCUGGGACUCAAGAUGAAAUGUGUUGAUUAAAUAGACAUUGGGAGUGGGUUCCAGGUUACAAGGAAAUGAUGUCAAUAUUGAUGAUCAUUAUUGUAUUACUGCAGUUUUUUUGUUUCAUGGUGUUUAUGUUUGCUGAGUUUUCUUGGUGACCUUGAUGACAUGUAAAUCUCCUCUCUCAAACUGGUCCAUGGUGAACCCUUUAAAUAUAGUCUGAUCUACAGCCUGCCUUAGUUUACCUAUAAAGUCUAUUUAACAAGGUUUGUCUCCUUAGGGGUUAUAUAAGAUUUUAACUCUGCUUGUACUCUUUGUGUCUCUUACCCUACCCUUUUGAUGCCUCUUAAGGUAGGCUACCAUUCCAUCCAGAAAUCCCUAGUAGAUAAAGCUUUAAAUAAGUGAUCCUGGCGUUUGAGUAGCCCAAAGUAAAUAAUGUUACAUUAAAAAUGAGCAUGAGUAACUCCAUUUUACUUUUAUCCACCAUUUUGUGAAGUUAAGUUUCAGCUGCUUUUAAGUCACCUAAUUUUAAGUCACAAGAUUAAUUCCCCCCUCCCAAAGGUCACCAGAUUUAAGGAAUGUCACAAAACUAACCCCUUCCUUUUCACCUCAGUGUCCCCUGGGUCCUUAACUUAUAGGCUUUUUUGUGAAUGCCAUGCUAAAUAAA